CCUGGCUAUGAUGACAAAACUUGCCCUCUCUGAGAGAAAAACCUCUGUUAUGAGAAUUUAAAUUUUUAUCUGAGCCAGC
This is a non-coding RNA of Paramisgurnus dabryanus, 79 nucleotides long. The record is from RefSeq and is a predicted model, not a curated record. NCBI's taxonomy places the organism in Eukaryota, Metazoa, Chordata, Actinopteri, Cypriniformes, Cobitidae.